RNAcentral lists this ribosomal RNA (464 nucleotides) under Vreelandella stevensii. Its description in RNAcentral is "partial 16S ribosomal RNA". It matches the Rfam family "Bacterial small subunit ribosomal RNA", at positions 338 to 795 of the family's 1533-position model. The record is from RNAcentral. Lineage: Bacteria; Pseudomonadati; Pseudomonadota; Gammaproteobacteria; Oceanospirillales; Halomonadaceae.
CCUACGGGUGGCAGCAGUGGGGAAUAUUGGACAAUGGGGGCAACCCUGAUCCAGCCAUGCCGCGUGUGUGAAGAAGGCCCUCGGGUUGUAAAGCACUUUCAGUGAGGAAGAACGCCUGGUGGUUAAUACCCAUCAGGAAAGACAUCACUCACAGAAGAAGCACCGGCUAACUCCGUGCCAGCAGCCGCGGUAAUACGGAGGGUGCGAGCGUUAAUCGGAAUUACUGGGCGUAAAGCGCGCGUAGGUGGCUUGAUAAGCCGGUUGUGAAGCCCCGGGCUCAACCUGGGAACGGCAUCCGGAACUGUCAAGCUAGAGUGCAGGAGAGGAAGGUAGAAUUCCCGGUGUAGCGGUGAAAUGCGUAGAGAUCGGGAGGAAUACCAGUGGCGAAGGCGGCCUUCUGGACUGACACUGACACUGAGGUGCGAAAGCGUGGGUAGCAAACAGGAUUAGAUACCCUAGUAGUC